GACGAACGCUGGCGGCGUGCUUAACACAUGCAAGUCGAACGGAAAGGCCUGUCCUUCCUUGUGUUGGACGGGUACUCGAGUGGCGAACGGGUGAGUAACACGUGAGUGAUCUGCCCCCAACUUGGGUAUAAGCCUGGGAAACUGGGUCUAAUUCCCGAUAGGACUGCAGGGUGGUGCCUGUGGUGGAAAACGAUUUUCUAGUGGUUGGGGAUGAGCUCGCGGCCUAUCAGCUUGUUGGUGGGGUAAUGGCCUACCAAGGCGGCGACGGGGAGCCGGCCUGGGAGGGUGGACGGCCACAUUGGGACUGAGAUACGGCCCAGACUCCUACGGGAGGCAGCAGUGGGGAAUAUUGCACAAUGGGCGGAAGCCUGAUGCAGCGACGCCGCGUGGGGGAUGACGGCCUUCGGGUUGUAAACUCCUUUCGACCGCGAGGAAGCCGCCUGGUUGGAAGGGUGGUGACGGUAGUGGUAGAAGAAGCACCGGCUAACUACGUG
This 494-nucleotide ribosomal RNA is filed under the name uncultured bacterium. RNAcentral describes it as "partial 16S ribosomal RNA". It matches the Rfam family "Bacterial small subunit ribosomal RNA", at positions 28 to 507 of the family's 1533-position model. The record is from RNAcentral.